CAGGCCAGAAAGCAUUCGAGUUUGACAUCCCUCUCUUUGUAUAUAUUUGAGCAGGAGGCACUAGAGCAGGUCUGCAUGUCUUGCAUCUGACACUGUUUAACCCAGAUGCUAGUUGGGACAGAAAGAAUCCCCCAGAACCUUGGAAUAAACUGGGACCCAAUGAUCAAUGCAAGUUCUACUCAGUGAAUGUAGAUUACAGCAAACUGAAGAAAAAAUGUUGAGACUUCUGA
RNAcentral lists this long non-coding RNA (230 nucleotides) under Homo sapiens (human). RNAcentral's name for it is "non-protein coding lnc-NHSL2-5:1". Lineage: Eukaryota; Metazoa; Chordata; Mammalia; Primates; Hominidae. The record is from RNAcentral.